UAUUUUUAUUUUACAGUUUAUAAUUAUUAUUAGGUAACGCUAUACUACGAAUCCAUGAGAUAAUUGUUAAAAAACUGAAGUUUUAAUCCCUACUUAAACAGCAUAUUAAUAAUAUUUUAAAAUUUUAUAAAUAUUGAUUCAAAUACAUCCACCAUAUAACCUAAUUCCAAAAUAAAACCCGUUCUUUAAUUUUUUUACCCGUCCCGUGAUUUUUUUUUUAAAGUAGUAAUUUUUAAAAUUUAAGAAUUAUUUUUUAUAUAUAAAAGUUUUGCACAUUGUAUCAUUCUCUAAUACAUUUAUAUUUUAUUG
RNAcentral lists this small RNA (309 nucleotides) under Arabidopsis thaliana (thale cress). RNAcentral describes it as "ATSL235970". Lineage: Eukaryota; Viridiplantae; Streptophyta; Magnoliopsida; Brassicales; Brassicaceae. The record is from RNAcentral.